CCUACGGGCGGCUGCAGUGAGGAAUAUUGGUCAAUGGGCGCGAGCCUGCCCCAGCCAAGCAGCGUGAAGGAUGAAUGCCCUCCGGUUUGUAACCUUCUUUAAUAAAGAAAUAAAGUGAGUCACCUGUUCCUUUUUGUAUGUACUUUAUGAAUAAAGAUCGGCUAACUCCGUGCCAGCAGCCGCGGUAAUACGGAGGAUCCGAGCGUUACCCGGAUGUAUUGGGUUUAAAGGGAGCGUAGAUGGGUUGUUAAGUCAGUUGUGAAAGUUUGCGGCUCAACCGUAAAAUUGCAAUUGAUACUGGCAGUCUUGAGUACAGUUGAGGUAGGCGGAAUUCGUGGUGUAGCAGUGAAAUGCUUAGAUAUCACGAAGAACUCCGAUUGCGAAGGCAGCUUACUAAACUGCCACUGACAUUGAUGCUCGAAAGUGUGGGUAUCAAACAGGAUUAGAUACCCCAGUAGUC
RNAcentral lists this ribosomal RNA (460 nucleotides) under uncultured bacterium. RNAcentral's name for it is "partial 16S ribosomal RNA". It matches the Rfam family "Bacterial small subunit ribosomal RNA", at positions 338 to 795 of the family's 1533-position model. The record is from RNAcentral.